GCAUCCCUCACCCUUCAUUUCCCGCCUCAGCCCUCACUCCCGCCUCAGCCCUCAGUCCCCGCUUCGCUGUCUCCCCUCUCCGCGCCCGCCUCAGCCCCUCAGCCUCCCCUCAGGUGUCGUGGUGGUUUAACCCCAGCUGCCAGCUAAGCACCACCAACCCCCUGCUCACUUCCCCUUCAACAGAAACUUUGAGAUGGGACUGGGAGGAGGACUGAAGUGUUCAUCUUACCUUCUGGAGUCACGUGCACCGAAAGCCAGAGCAGUUUCUCUUACAAGUUGUUGAGGCACUGUGCCCAGGGGACCAGCUUCACUAUGCGAUGUCCCUGUGACCACGCCAGGUACGAGCCAUCGGGAGCGAAC
This is a long non-coding RNA of Passer domesticus (house sparrow), 360 nucleotides long. RefSeq lists it as uncharacterized. The transcript is spliced from 3 exons. Lineage: Eukaryota; Metazoa; Chordata; Aves; Passeriformes; Passeridae. The record is from RefSeq and is a predicted model, not a curated record.